This 492-nucleotide ribosomal RNA is filed under the name uncultured bacterium. RNAcentral describes it as "partial 16S ribosomal RNA". It matches the Rfam family "Bacterial small subunit ribosomal RNA", at positions 29 to 507 of the family's 1533-position model. The record is from RNAcentral.
AAUGAACGCUGGCGGUAUGCCUAACACAUGCAAGUCGAACGGCAGCACAGUAAGAUCUUGCUCUUACGGGUGGCGAGUGGCGUACGGGUGAGGUAUACAUCCGAAUCUACUUUUUCGUGGGGGAUCACGUAGGGAAACUUACGCUAAUACCGCAUACGCUCUACGGGUGAAAGCAUUGGAUCUUCGGACCUUGCGCGAUUGGAUGAGCCGCUGUCGGGUUAGCUAGUUGGCGGGGUAAAGGCCCACCAAGGCGACGAUCCGUAGCUUGUCUGAGAGGAUGAUCAGCCACACGAGAACGGAGACACGGUCCAGACUCCUACGGGAGGCAGCAGUGGGGAAUAUGAGACAAUGGGCGCAAGCCUGACCCAGCCAUACCGCGUGGGUGAAGGAGGCCUUCGGGUUGUAAAGCCCUUUUGUUGGGAAAGAAAAGCUGCAGGUUAAGACCCCGCUGGUCUGACGGUACCCAAUAAAUAAGCACCGGCUAACUACGUG